Molecule: ribosomal RNA, 494 nt
Filed under: uncultured bacterium
Lineage: Bacteria
Description: partial 16S ribosomal RNA
Rfam family: Bacterial small subunit ribosomal RNA
Source: RNAcentral
GACGAACGCUGGCGGCGUGCUUAACACAUGCAAGUCGAACGGUGAAGCGCCUUCCUUUUUGGUGGGUGUGGAUGAGUGGCGAACGGGUGAGUAACACGUGAGUAACCUGCCCCCUUCUUCUGGAUAACCGCAUGAAAGUGUGGCUAAUACGGGAUAUUCUGGGUCUGUCGCAUGAUGGGUCUGGGAAAGAUAUUGUUUCGGUGGGGGAUGGGCUCGCGGCCUAUCAGCUUGUUGGUGGGGUGAUGGCCUACCAAGGCGGUGACGGGUAGCCGGCCUGAGAGGGUGGACGGUCAGACGGGGAAGGAGACACGGCCCGGACACGGACGGGGGGCAGCAGCGGGGAGGGUUGCGCAAUGCGGGGAGGCCUGAUGCAGCGACGCCGCGUGAGGGAUGGAGGCCCGCGGGUUGUGAAGCUCUUUCGAGAGUGAAGCGGAGCGGCCUCGUUUGUGGGUGGGUUGACGGUAGCUGGAUAAGAAGCGACGGCUAACUACGGG